This 1383-nucleotide unclassified non-coding RNA is filed under the name Hevea brasiliensis (rubber tree). Lineage: Eukaryota; Viridiplantae; Streptophyta; Magnoliopsida; Malpighiales; Euphorbiaceae. The record is from RNAcentral.
GUAUACAGCAAAUACCAUGGCAUCUGCUAUUGAGGCAAUGGGCAUGUCACUGCCUUAUAGCUCUUCCACACCCGCUGAAGACUCACUAAAGUUGGAUGAGUGUCGCCUAGCGGGAAAAUAUCUUCUGGAAUUAUUAAAGAUGGACUUGAAACCUCGAGAUAUCAUCACAAAAAAGUCCCUUCGAAAUGCAAUGGUAGUUGUCAUGGCACUUGGUGGAUCUACCAAUGCCGUACUACAUUUAAUUGCUAUUGCAAGGUCUGUUGGUUUGGAAUUAACUCUAGAUGACUUCCAAAAGGUUAGCGAUGAGGUUCCUUUCCUUGCAGAUCUGAAGCCUAGUGGAAAAUAUGUUAUGGAGGAUGUGCACAAGAUUGGAGGUACACCCGCAGUCAUUCGCCACCUGUUGGAGCUUGGGUAUAUGGAUGGGGACUGUAUGACUGUCACAGGAAAGACUCUGGCUGAAAAUGCAAAGCUAUUUCCUUCUUUAGCUGAAGGUCAGCAAAUUAUAAGACCACUAUCAAACCCCAUCAAAGAAACAGGCCACAUCCAGAUAUUGUAUGGGAAUCUUGCACCAGAGGGGAGCGUGGCAAAGAUCACUGGAAAAGAAGGGCUAUACUUUUCUGGCCCCGCCUUAGUGUUUGAAGGAGAGGAGGCUAUGCUUGCAGCUAUCUCAGAAGAUCCUUUAAGUUUUAAGGGAAAAGUUGUAGUCAUUAGAGGAGAGGGACCUAAGGGAGGACCAGGUAUGGCUGAAAUGCUGACACCCACAAGUGCAAUUAUGGGUGCAGGUCUUGGGAAGGAUGUUGCUUUACUUACUGAUGGAAGAUUUUCUGGAGGUUCUCAUGGAUACGUUGUGGGGCAUAUAUGUCCUGAAGCACAGGAAGGAGGUCCAAUUGGUCUUGUUCAAAAUGGAGACAUAAUAACAAUAGACAUUCAGAAAAAGAAAAUGGAUGUUCAGUUAUCAGACGAGGUGUUGGAACAGCGUAGAAAGAAUUGGACACCCCCUGCAUAUAAGGCUGACCGAGGGGUUCUCUACAAGUAUAUAAAAAAUGUGCAAUCCGCUUCCAAGGGAUGUGUUACCGAUGAAUAGAGAAGAAGCAUAUUUACCAAAACCAAAGAGUGAACCUGGGAAAGCCUGAUGUUGCUUGCAGCUGCAAUUGGGGCAUCUGCACGGCUCGUAGCCCUUUUAUUAUAGAGGUAUCACAUUUAUGUUUUCAGGUGUAACUUUAUAUAUUUUGUUUCUUUGAAAGUUGAGAGCUAUGUUUUUCUUUUCCCAUUUUUCCUGCUCUGUAUUUCUGGAACUCCCAGCUGUCAUUAAAAUUGUACAAUGCUUGGUGAAAUAAUAUUUGGUAGUAGAGCAAUCACUUCUACUUUGGAAAUUCCCAAAAG